CACGUAGGGGACGAGCGUUGUCCGGAUUCAUUGGGCGUAAAGCGCGCGUAGGCGGCUCGGAAAGUCGGUCGUGAAAUGCCGGGGCUCAACCCCGGGACUGCGUCCGAUACUCCCGAGCUGGAGGCAGGUAGGGGAGAUCGGAAUUCCUGGUGUAGCGGUGAAAUGCGCAGAUAUCAGGAGGAACACCGGUGGCGAAGGCGGAUCUCUGGGCCUUGCCUGACGCUGAGGCGCGAAAGCGUGGGGAGCAAACGGG
RNAcentral lists this ribosomal RNA (253 nucleotides) under uncultured bacterium. RNAcentral describes it as "partial 16S ribosomal RNA". It matches the Rfam family "Bacterial small subunit ribosomal RNA", at positions 524 to 776 of the family's 1533-position model. The record is from RNAcentral.